UUCUUCUUUGAUACGAAUGCCUUCUAUUCACUGCACCAUUUAGACCAAUGAAUGAAGUGGAGGGGAAAAGAAUGCUAGAGUAAAAAAGCGAAAAACUUCCUCAUACUGAGUUUACUUAAUUAAUAUAUUUAUAGCAUUCUUGGAUUCUGGUUUUUCGAGACAUAU
Molecule: small nucleolar RNA, 165 nt
Filed under: Candida maltosa Xu316
Lineage: Eukaryota; Fungi; Ascomycota; Pichiomycetes; Serinales; Debaryomycetaceae
Description: Small nucleolar RNA snR8
Rfam family: Small nucleolar RNA snR8
Source: Rfam by way of RNAcentral